UUUAGGUUCCUAGAUGAUAAAGGCUACGGUUAAGGUGCAUGUUAUUUUUGGUCAUACUGAUGUGUGAGAGCUUGCCUUCUCCGAGCACUAUUCAUGGAAAGUAUUUUUAUUUAUUGAUAGUUCAAUUAAGCAACACAAAGCUCAGAUGGAGGCAAAUUCUCUAAUUUAAAGGCACGGUAUAGGUUAUUGAAAAGGUUAUGAAUGUCAAAAAAUAUUUUUAUUUAAAUAUUAAAUAUUGUAGUUGUGUCUUCAAUAGUCCCUCUUCUAGAUUAACUGAAGAGAAGUUCUUUCACAGAGAUCUAUAUGAUCCUUUGUCAUUCUCUAUAGUUUUGGAAACUAAUAAUGAUCAGGACCAUCUCCAAUUUUAAAUUCUUAUUAUGAAAUUAAUGUUGCAGUAAAAUAUAUGAAUUUUUUGUCACAAAACCAAUUAUUCCCUUUAUAAUUUUCGAAGAAAAGAGAUGAGAAUGACAUCCUAUGGCCUUCUCUCUUUUUGGUCAGAGGAUGGUCCAAAAUGACCCGAAGCAAGCCAAACCAAGUGGUUUCGCUCGCUUCAAAGCAAUUCAGGCUAAUUCAAACCAGUUACUGAACUAGGAGUUUAAAUCGAUCCGAGUCUGUACUAGUUCAGUUCAA
RNAcentral lists this long non-coding RNA (630 nucleotides) under Phoenix dactylifera (date palm). RNAcentral describes it as "long non-coding RNA (PDAC_LNC020340)". Lineage: Eukaryota; Viridiplantae; Streptophyta; Magnoliopsida; Arecales; Arecaceae. The record is from RNAcentral.